RNAcentral lists this long non-coding RNA (787 nucleotides) under Homo sapiens (human). RNAcentral's name for it is "STARD13 antisense RNA". The record is from RNAcentral. Lineage: Eukaryota; Metazoa; Chordata; Mammalia; Primates; Hominidae.
AAUGGGCAUCCCACCCCAGCACUUUCUAGGAAGAAGGGCAGCAUUUUGAAGGGCUGGAAGUAGAGGAAGGAGGUUGCGGGUAGAAGACUCCAUACUUUCUGUGACGCCUAUUCCUUAGUCAGAGGCAUGGCUUGCCUGGGCCUCUGGGUGCAGCUGCACAGAUUCAAGCAGCCUGAAGGAAAGGUGACUGACAGCUAAUGAUCUGAAAAGAACUUGUCUCAACUCAACGUCAUUCCUGGCAUUAUCGAACAAAGCAAUAAACCUCACAGAAUGGAAGCUACAGUGUCCAGGGCCAGCUCUGCUAAGGUAACCAAAGACAGAGAAGGAGGCAAAAGUGACAGAAGAAACUCAUGGGAAACCAACAGAAAUAUAAUGGCUUUGGCAGAAAUGCAAUUAUCAAUUGGGAGCUUGUGAUGAAUGUUUUCUCAGUAUCCUAUGCUGAAAACAGGUAGAUACUAAUAUCGAUCUUCAAGGGAGGGCUGUUGAGUAUUGAAUAAGACAAAAACAUGGAAGCAAUCAGCACCAUGCUGGAAUCAAGGCUAUCUGUAAUCACAGGGCUAUUUGAAAAAGAGAAGAAAAGGUGUCUUGAAAUUCAACCAACAUGUUUCAAUUAUUUGCUCCUAAGAACAACAGAAGUUUCAACAUUCUGCCAACAGAGUAACUCCUGGAAGAUUGGCACAGAAGAAGGCACAAGGAAGUCAGUGAUAAAAAUAUUUAAGCAGCUUUGUCUGCCUUAGACCUUCCAACUAAAAGUACAGCAAGUGGAAUGGAAUGCUAAUAUGAGGAU